CUCUUACUAGAUUGAGAAAAAAUGAUCUUGUCGUGCUACGAUGGCAUUACAAUAGGAAGCAAGGCUGUAAGGCAGAGCGAAUCCGGAAAGAUUGUCUCAGUUCGGAUUGUUCUCUGCAACUCGGGAACAUGGAUCACUAGCAAUUAAUCGCGGAUCAACAUGCUGCAGACUGCAGUGAAUAUGUACCCGGG
Molecule: non-coding RNA, 191 nt
Filed under: Nicotiana sylvestris (wood tobacco)
Lineage: Eukaryota; Viridiplantae; Streptophyta; Magnoliopsida; Solanales; Solanaceae
Also listed under: 1 other name
Description: Bacterial small subunit ribosomal RNA
Rfam family: Bacterial small subunit ribosomal RNA
Source: Rfam by way of RNAcentral